GUACCCCUAGCUCAGCUGGUUAGAGUGUCGGAUUGUGGUUCCGAAGGUCGUGGGUUCGAGCCCCACUGGGUACC
Molecule: transfer RNA, 74 nt
Filed under: Bacteroidales bacterium
Lineage: Bacteria; Pseudomonadati; Bacteroidota; Bacteroidia; Bacteroidales
Description: tRNA-His
Rfam family: tRNA
About the family: Transfer RNA (tRNA) molecules are approximately 80 nucleotides in length. Their secondary structure includes four short double-helical elements and three loops (D, anti-codon, and T loops).
Source: RNAcentral